GACGAACGCUGGCGGCGUGCUUAACACAUGCAAGUCGAACGGUGAAGGGACUGGUUUUGCUGGUCCUGGAUGAGUGGCGAACGGGUGAGUAACACGUGAGUAACCUGCCCCCUUCUUCUGGAUAACCGCAUGAAAGUGUGGCUAAUACGGGAUAUUCUGGGUCUGUCGCAUGGUGGGCCUGGGAAAGAUUGCGCCUUUUUUGGUGUUUUUGGUGGGGGAUGGGCUCGCGGCCUAUCAGCUUGUUGGUGGGGGGAUGGCCUACCAAGGCGGUGACGGGUAGCCGGCCUGAGAGGGUGGACGGUCACACUGGGACUGAGACACGGCCCAGACUCCUACGGGAGGCAGCAGUGGGGAAUAUUGCACAAUGGGCGCAAGCCUGAUGCAGCGACGCCGCGUGAGGGAUGGAGGCCUUCGGGUUGUGAACCUCUUUCGCCAGUGAAGCAGGCCUGCCUCUUUUUGUGGGUGGGUUGACGGUAGCUGGAGAAGAAGCGCCGGCUAACUACGUG
RNAcentral lists this ribosomal RNA (506 nucleotides) under uncultured bacterium. RNAcentral's name for it is "partial 16S ribosomal RNA". It matches the Rfam family "Bacterial small subunit ribosomal RNA", at positions 28 to 507 of the family's 1533-position model. The record is from RNAcentral.